Molecule: ribosomal RNA, 267 nt
Filed under: uncultured bacterium
Lineage: Bacteria
Description: partial 16S ribosomal RNA
Rfam family: Bacterial small subunit ribosomal RNA
Source: RNAcentral
UGCCGGCGACCGGCGGACGGGUGCGUAACGCGUAUGUAACCUACCUUUGACAGGGGAAUAACAUCGAGAAAUUGGUACUAAUACCCCAUAACAUCACCGGAGGCAUCUUCGGUGGUUGAAAACUCAGGUGGUCAGAGAUGGACAUGCGUUGUAUUAGCUAGUUGGUGAGGUAACGGCUCACCAAGGCGACGAUACAUAGGGGGACUGAGAGGUCAACCCCCCACAUUGGUACUGAGACACGGACCAAACUCCUACGGAAGGCAGCAG